This 235-nucleotide ribosomal RNA is filed under the name uncultured Candidatus Saccharibacteria bacterium. RNAcentral describes it as "partial 16S ribosomal RNA". It matches the Rfam family "Bacterial small subunit ribosomal RNA", at positions 585 to 818 of the family's 1533-position model. The record is from RNAcentral. Lineage: Bacteria; Candidatus Saccharimonadota.
AAGCGAAUAGUGAAAUCUGGGGGCUCAGCCUCACAGACUAUUAUUCGAACUGCUCGUCUCGAGAAUGGUAGAGGUAACUGGAAUUUCUAGUGUAGGAGUGAAAUCCGUAGAUAUUAGAAGGAACACCAAUGGCGUAGGCAGGUUACUGGACCAUUUCUGACACUGAGGCACGAAAGCGUGGGGAGCGAACCGGAUUAGAUACCCGGGUAGUCCACGCCGUAAACUAUGGAUACUA